CACACACACACACACAGCGAGUUGGUGAUUUACAGAGCAAGACAACCAAACAGGAGAGUGGAAAAAUGUGACCGGAUGUAAAACAUUUCUAACAAAUUGGUUUGAAAGGAAAUGAUUUAAACUCAUUAACUGCUUCUACAAGAAGAAGAACAGAAACGAUUACAAGAUGGAGUCGGUUUAUCUCCAGAACAUAUUAGUCACAUCAUCCCUGCAAGCGCAUUUCAUAAUGAGUUUGACAAAUAAACAACAGUUGCUGUUAGUGAAUGAUUCUCAAAAAGCUAGCUGGGAUUUCUGGACUUUCUGACACUGCAAACCAGACGUCACGGCCUUCUCAUCUCCAAAACCCCAAAUCAUUCCAAAUAAAGGUUGUGGGUGGUAA
Xiphophorus couchianus (Monterrey platyfish) is the source of this 379-nucleotide long non-coding RNA. RefSeq lists it as uncharacterized. Lineage: Eukaryota; Metazoa; Chordata; Actinopteri; Cyprinodontiformes; Poeciliidae. The transcript is spliced from 2 exons. The record is from RefSeq and is a predicted model, not a curated record.